This 417-nucleotide ribosomal RNA is filed under the name Metschnikowia sp. (in: budding yeasts & allies). RNAcentral describes it as "Metschnikowia sp. (in: Fungi) partial large subunit ribosomal RNA". It matches the Rfam family "Eukaryotic large subunit ribosomal RNA", at positions 41 to 657 of the family's 3401-position model. The record is from RNAcentral. Lineage: Eukaryota; Fungi; Ascomycota; Pichiomycetes; Serinales; Metschnikowiaceae.
UAUCAAAUAAGCGGAGGAAAAGAAACCAACCGGGAUUACCUCAGUAACGGCGAGUGAAGCGGUAAAAGCUCAAAAUUGAAAUCUUCGGAAUUGUACUUUAAGGACUUUAGAGCUAAUUCAAAAGUUCUCUGGAAUGAGACGCCUUAGAGGGUGAUAGCCCCGUUUUAUCGGCAUUAUUCUAAAGUUCCAUCGAGUCGGGUUGUUUGGGAAUGCAGCUCAAAGUGGGUGGUAAAUUCCAUCUAAAGCUAAAUAUUGGCGAGAGACCGAUAGCGAACAAGUACAGUGAUGGAAAGAUGAAAAGCACUUUGAAAAGAGAGUGAAAUAGUACGUGAAAUUGUUGAGGGGGAAGGGUAGGGUCGUCUUUAAAUAUCUGGAACGAAGUUUCUGAUAUUUUGGUGGCUCUAUCGCCCGUCUUGA